Molecule: ribosomal RNA, 474 nt
Filed under: Stenotrophomonas geniculata
Lineage: Bacteria; Pseudomonadati; Pseudomonadota; Gammaproteobacteria; Lysobacterales; Lysobacteraceae
Description: partial 16S rRNA
Source: RNAcentral
GUCCAGGUAGCUGCCUUCGCCAUGGAUGUUCCUCCUGAUCUCUACGCAUUUCACUGCUACACCAGGAAUUCCGCUACCCUCUACCACACUCUAGUCGCCCAGUAUCCAAUGCAGUUCCCAGGUUGAGCCCAGGGAUUUCACAACGGACUUAAACGACCACCUACGCACGCUUUACGCCCAGUAAUUCCGAGUAACGCUUGCACCCUUCGUAUUACCGCGGCUGCUGGCACGAAGUUAGCCGGUGCUUAUUCUUUGGGUACCGUCAUCCCAACCGGGUAUUAGCCAGCUGGAUUUCUUUCCCAACAAAAGGGCUUUACAACCCGAAGGCCUUCUUCACCCACGCGGUAUGGCUGGAUCAGGCUUGCGCCCAUUGUCCAAUAUUCCCCACUGCUGCCUCCCGUAGGAGUCUGGACCGUGUCUCAGUUCCAGUGUGGCUGAUCAUCCUCUCAGACCAGCUACGGAUCGUCGCCUUGG